This is a long non-coding RNA of Microplitis mediator, 714 nucleotides long. RefSeq lists it as uncharacterized. The transcript has 3 exons. Lineage: Eukaryota; Metazoa; Arthropoda; Insecta; Hymenoptera; Braconidae. The record is from RefSeq and is a predicted model, not a curated record.
ACCAAUGUAACAUGUACGUCACAUUAACAUCACAUUUACGUUUAUUAUGUUACGUAACAAUGUUACGUAAAUGAGUGUGAAAUUGUGAUAUACAUGUUGUGAAGAUGUGAUGUACAUAUGACUUACGAUUUUACGUAACCGGAAGUUUUCAUUCUAUAAAUGUGACAUCCCUGUUACGUUGAUGUGUUCACUGGGAGCCUAUGCGUCGCAUAACUCGAAAUUUAACUGCUACUAAAAGUAGCAGACACAUUAAGAAAAUUAUUUUUAUUUUAAAUAAACCAAAAAAAUACUUAAAGGUAGCGGGUACUUGUGAACGACUGUGUGGGUGACUAUCUUUGCAAAACAAACGUUGCCGGCGAUUUUUGUGACUGAUGCAAGCCCGGUUACUUCGCAUUAACCUGCGACAAUAUCAAGUGAUACUUACAGUGCGACUGAUUCGGAGUUAAUACCGAUCAAUGCACUGCUGCAACUCUUGUUUAUCAGUCGAAUUAGUUAGACGAGGGCAGGAGAUGAGGCUAGCGAGAAUUCAAUUUUACGCAGAAGCUGAAGCAGAUAAUAUGAACAACAUCAACUAACUGGACAAGUUUACCUGAAAAAUGGAGACAUGCUACGGACAGUAGAUCAUUCUUGAUGGAUAAAUACAAUUUUUUUAAUUUUCAUAAUUAAUAAAAUUGUAAAAAAUAACCUAUUAAAUGAAAUUCACAGUAAUAAAUA